AGCGGCCGCGGUAAUUCCAGCUCCAAUAGCGUAUAUUAGUGUUGUUGCGGUUAAAAAGCUCGUAGUUGAAUUUCGGGAUUGGGAUAUAUCGGUCAUGGCUUUAGGGACAUGAAUCGGUGUGUGGUCAAUUCUCUCACCUUCUGGUGAAUCGGGAUGCUCUUGGGUGUUUCGAUGAACUAGGACCUUUACUUUGAAAAAAUUAGAGUGUUUAAAGCGGGCAUUUUUGCUUGAAUACAUUAGCAUGGAAUAAUAAAAUAGGACGAUGGUUCUAUUUUGUUGGUUUUAGGACCACGUAAUGAUUAAUAGGGAUAGUUGGGGGCAUUAGUAUUCAAUUGUCAGAGGUGAAAUUCUUGGAUUAAUUGAGGACUAACUACUGCGAAAGCAUUUGCCAAGGAUGUUUUCAUUAAUCAAGAACGAAAGUUAGGGGAUCGAAGACGAUUUAUGUACGUCGUAGUCUUAACCAUAAACUAUGCCGACUAGGAAUCAGACAAAGUUCAUUUUUUGAUGACUUGUUUGGUACCUUACG
Molecule: ribosomal RNA, 526 nt
Filed under: uncultured Entrophosporaceae
Lineage: Eukaryota; Fungi; Glomeromycota; Glomeromycetes; Entrophosporales; Entrophosporaceae
Description: SSU rRNA
Rfam family: Eukaryotic small subunit ribosomal RNA
Source: RNAcentral